UACGUAGGGGGCAAGCGUUAUCCGGAUUUACUGGGUGUAAAGGGAGCGUAGACGGCAGUGCAAGUCUGGAGUGAAAGGCGGGGGCUCAACCCCCGGACUGCUCUGGAAACUGUACGGCUGGAGUGCAGGAGAGGUAAGUGGAAUUCCUAGUGUAGCGGUGAAACGCGUAGAUAUACGGAGGAACACCAGUGGCGAAGGCGGAUUGCUGGACAGUAACUGACGCUGAGGCGCGAAAGCGUGGAGAGCAAACAGG
RNAcentral lists this ribosomal RNA (253 nucleotides) under uncultured bacterium. RNAcentral's name for it is "partial 16S ribosomal RNA". It matches the Rfam family "Bacterial small subunit ribosomal RNA", at positions 524 to 776 of the family's 1533-position model. The record is from RNAcentral.